Molecule: ribosomal RNA, 531 nt
Filed under: Peribacillus muralis
Lineage: Bacteria; Bacillati; Bacillota; Bacilli; Caryophanales; Bacillaceae
Description: bacterial SSU rRNA
Rfam family: Bacterial small subunit ribosomal RNA
Source: RNAcentral
GAAACCGGAGCUAAUACCGGAUACGUUCUUUUCUCGCAUGAGAGAAGAUGGAAAGACGGUUUACGCUGUCACUUAUAGAUGGGCCCGCGGCGCAUUAGCUAGUUGGUGAGGUAAUGGCUCACCAAGGCGACGAUGCGUAGCCGACCUGAGAGGGUGAUCGGCCACACUGGGACUGAGACACGGCCCAGACUCCUACGGGAGGCAGCAGUAGGGAAUCUUCCGCAAUGGACGAAAGUCUGACGGAGCAACGCCGCGUGAACGAAGAAGGCCUUCGGGUCGUAAAGUUCUGUUGUUAGGGAAGAACAAGUACCAGAGUAACUGCUGGUACCUUGACGGUACCUAACCAGAAAGCCACGGCUAACUACGUGCCAGCAGCCGCGGUAAUACGUAGGUGGCAAGCGUUGUCCGGAAUUAUUGGGCGUAAAGCGCGCGCAGGUGGUUCCUUAAGUCUGAUGUGAAAGCCCACGGCUCAACCGUGGAGGGUCAUUGGAAACUGGGGAACUUGAGUGCAGAAGAGGAAAGUGGAAUUCC